RNAcentral lists this ribosomal RNA (342 nucleotides) under Triticum aestivum (bread wheat). RNAcentral's name for it is "partial small subunit ribosomal RNA". The record is from RNAcentral. Lineage: Eukaryota; Viridiplantae; Streptophyta; Magnoliopsida; Poales; Poaceae.
AUGAUGAGGACAUCAAUACCAUUGUUACACCCACAGCCUGAUGAGGACAUCAAUACAAUUGUUACACCCACAGCCCCUGCUGCUAUACAUACUGGACCAAUUACUAGAGCUCGUGCACGCCAACUAAAUUACCAGGUACUUUUGUUUCUUGGUAAUGAUUUUAAUGUUCAUGAGAAUAUGAUGCUGCCUAAAUUGGAUACAUUUGUUUUGCUUACAAAUGAAGGGCCUAGCUUGGAGAAGGAUGAACAUUGGAGCAAGAACAAGCAUGGAGAUGAUGGCAUGUGCAAGGGGAACAAGAACGGAGUUACAAGUGAUGAUUUCAGGACUUUGAAGCCACCAUAA